Molecule: non-coding RNA, 153 nt
Organism: Salmo salar (Atlantic salmon)
Lineage: Eukaryota; Metazoa; Chordata; Actinopteri; Salmoniformes; Salmonidae
Source: RefSeq, a predicted model, not a curated record
UACAAUGUGAUGGACUACAAGGUGAAACAGCCAUUCUGUUAGAAGGAACAACAUUACAAUGUGAUGGACUACAAGGUGAAACAGCCAUUCUGUUAGAAGGAACAACAUUACAAUGUGAUGGACUACAAGGUGAAACAGCCAUUCUGUUAGAAG